This 315-nucleotide ribosomal RNA is filed under the name Bacillus sp. (in: firmicutes). Its description in RNAcentral is "bacterial SSU rRNA". It matches the Rfam family "Bacterial small subunit ribosomal RNA", at positions 24 to 327 of the family's 1533-position model. Lineage: Bacteria; Bacillati; Bacillota; Bacilli; Caryophanales; Bacillaceae. The record is from RNAcentral.
UCAGGACGAACGCUGGCGGCGUGCUUAAUACAUGCAAGUCGAGCGAAGAUAUGGGAGCUUGUUCCCAGUUCUUAGCGGCGGACGGGUGAGUAACACGUGGGCAACCUGCCCUGCAGACUGGGAUAAUUCCGGGAAACCGGAGCUAAUACCGGGUAANACUUCGCACCGCAUGGUGCAAUGUUGAAAGUUGGCUUUCGAGCUAACACUGCAGGAUGGGCCCGCGGCGCAUUAGCUAGUUGGUAAGGUAAUGGCUUACCAAGGCGACGAUGCGUAGCCGACCUGAGAGGGUGAUCGGCCACACUGGGACUGAGACAC